This 179-nucleotide non-coding RNA is filed under the name Gemmatimonadota bacterium. RNAcentral's name for it is "Gemmatimonadetes bacterium (soil metagenome) 6S RNA". It matches the Rfam family "6S / SsrS RNA". Rfam says of the family: E. coli 6S RNA was the first non coding RNA to be sequenced, but its function was unknown until recently. It consists of 184 nucleotides that fold into an extended hairpin structure with a large single-stranded internal bulge. The 6S RNA specifically associates with RNA polymerase holoenzyme containing the sigma70 specificity factor. Lineage: Bacteria; Pseudomonadati; Gemmatimonadota. The record is from RNAcentral.
UUGACCCCGCUCCAAGCUCGGCGAUGCACAAAAUUUCGAUCCUAAAGCAAGCCGAAGGGAACCUAUCUCCGUCCGUGGAUCGCAUGCCUCCUCGCGAGGACUCGAGAAGCGGCCGGGAGGGUACCCGUCAUGUGCAAAGGGGAAUCGAAAUUUCCUUUACCGAGCCGAGCGGGGUCUUU